This 430-nucleotide ribosomal RNA is filed under the name Leptopholcus guineensis. Its description in RNAcentral is "partial 16S ribosomal RNA". It matches the Rfam family "Archaeal large subunit ribosomal RNA", at positions 1923 to 2666 of the family's 2987-position model. Lineage: Eukaryota; Metazoa; Arthropoda; Arachnida; Araneae; Pholcidae. The record is from RNAcentral.
UUCUAUAAGAGCUAAUUUAUAGUAAAACCUGCUCAAUGUAAUUAUCAAUAGCCGCAGAUCAUCUGUGCUAAGGUAGCAUAAUCACUUGCUUCUUAAUUAGAAGAUAGAAUGAAAGGUUAAACACCUAACAUUAGUCUCCUUAAACAACAAACGAAUUUAAGAUAAAAGUAAAAACUCUUUUAUAAAUAAAGCAGGACGAUAAGACCCCGAUAAACUUUACUUUUAGUUGGGGAAACACAAUAACCAUAAUUUAUUUUCACAACUCAACAUAACUAUAAAAUUAAACAUAGAAUAGUUACUACGGGGAUAACAGCGCUAUUUCUUUUAAGAGUCCUUAUCUAAAAAGAAGUUUACGACCUCGAUGUUGAAUUAAGUUUCCCUAUGCAAAGCAACAUUUUACUAGGGUGGUCUGUUCGACCAAUAACCACUU